ACGGAAAGGCCCUGCUUUUGUGGGGUGCUCGAGUGGCGAACGGGUGAGUAACACGUGAGUAACCUGCCCUUGACUUUGGGAUAACUUCAGGAAACUGGGGCUAAUACCGGAUAGGAGCUCCUGCUGCAUGGUGGGGGUUGGAAAGUUUCGGCGGUUGGGGAUGGACUCGCGGCUUAUCAGCUUGUUGGUGGGGUAGUGGCUUACCAAGGCUUUGACGGGUAGCCGGCCUGAGAGGGUGACCGGCCACAUUGGGACUGAGAUACGGCCCAGACUCCUACGGGAGGCAGCAGUGGGGAAUAUUGCACAAUGGGCGGAAGCCUGAUGCAGCAACGCCGCGUGCGGGAUGACGGCCUUCGGGUUGUAAACCGCUUUCGCCUGUGACGAAGCGUGAGUGACGGUAAUGGGUAAAGAAGCACCGGCUAACUACGUGCCAGCAGCCGCGGUGAUACGUAGGGUGCGAGCGUUGUC
RNAcentral lists this ribosomal RNA (468 nucleotides) under uncultured Propionibacterium sp. RNAcentral's name for it is "bacterial SSU rRNA". It matches the Rfam family "Bacterial small subunit ribosomal RNA", at positions 66 to 545 of the family's 1533-position model. Lineage: Bacteria; Bacillati; Actinomycetota; Actinomycetes; Propionibacteriales; Propionibacteriaceae. The record is from RNAcentral.